RNAcentral lists this ribosomal RNA (467 nucleotides) under uncultured bacterium. RNAcentral's name for it is "partial 16S ribosomal RNA". It matches the Rfam family "Bacterial small subunit ribosomal RNA", at positions 28 to 507 of the family's 1533-position model. The record is from RNAcentral.
GAUGAACGCUGACAGAAUGCUUAACACAUGCAAGUCAACUUGAAUUUGGGUUUUUAACUUAGGUUUGGGUGGCGGACGGGUGAGUAACGCGUAAAGAACUUGCCUCACAGCUAGGGACAACAUUUGGAAACGAAUGCUAAUACCUAAUAUUAUGAUAAUAGGGCAUCCUAUAAUUAUGAAAGCUAUAAGCGCUGUGAGAGAGCUUUGCGUCCCAUUAGCUAGUUGGAGAGGUAACGGCUCACCAAGGCGAUGAUGGGUAGCCGGCCUGAGAGGGUGAUCGGCCACAAGGGGACUGAGACACGGCCCUUACUCCUACGGGAGGCAGCAGUGGGUAAUAUUGGACAAUGGACCGAGAGUCUGAUCCAGCAAUUCUGUGUGCACGAUGAAGUUUUUCGGAAUGUAAAGUGCUUUCAGUUGGGAAGAAACAAAUGACGGUACCAACAGAAGAAGUGACGGCUAAAUACGUG